AAGUAUGAAAUUGUGCGCAAACAAGUCUGGAGACUUAUUGAGCAUAAUAACUCAUUGUGCGCAAGGAUGCUCCGAUCUAAAUACUAUCCAACGGGAGAAUUGCUCAAUUGUGGACUGAAGAACGGCGCCUCCUUUGUAUGGCAGAGCAUAUGGGUGGGAGCUCAAACAUUUAGGAAAGGAUGCAUUUGGAGGGUUGGCAAUGGCCUAGGAGGGAGUAUAUGGGAGGACUGCUGGAUUCUUAAUAGUUCCUCCAGGAAAAUUGUGACGCCUCGAGGAAAUAGAGUCCUUACUCGUGUCAAUGAACUUAUUAACCCAGCGUCCGGGGAGUGGGAUGAAUAGCUCAUCAAAGAUAACUUCUGGCCCAUCGACGUUGAUCGGAUACUACAGAUUCCCUUGCACCAGGGAGACACGGAGGACUAUGUGGCAUGGCACUUGACAAAGUCACGUAAUUUUAGUAUUCGAUCGGCUUACUAUAAGAAGUGGGAAGAUUUUUAUGGAAGUACAAAUCACAGCUCUCUCUCAAGUGCUUCAGUUACCCAUCCGAUUUGGAAGAAGCUAUGAGGUCUAAAAGUGCAAAGCAAGAUGAAAAUCUUUGUAUGGCAGGCAUUACACAAUGCCAUUCCUUGCUUUGGCGUUCUGGCAAAUCGCCACAUCUCGACAUCGGCACAAUGCCCAGUAUGUAAGCUGCAUUCGGAGGAUGUGGCACAUGCGUUGUUUGGAUGCACGAGAGCCGGCUGA
This 738-nucleotide ribosomal RNA is filed under the name Triticum aestivum (bread wheat). RNAcentral's name for it is "partial small subunit ribosomal RNA". Lineage: Eukaryota; Viridiplantae; Streptophyta; Magnoliopsida; Poales; Poaceae. The record is from RNAcentral.